AUCCAACUGAUGAGUCCCAAAUAGUAGGAAAUGUGCAUCCUGGAU
Schistosoma haematobium is the source of this 45-nucleotide non-coding RNA. The record is from Rfam. NCBI's taxonomy places the organism in Eukaryota, Metazoa, Platyhelminthes, Trematoda, Strigeidida, Schistosomatidae.